AUUGAACGCUGGCGGCAUGCCUUACACAUGCAAGUCGAGCGGUAACAGGUCUACGGAUGCUGACGAGUGGCGAACGGGUGAGUAAUACAUCGGAACGUGCCUAGUAGUGGGGGAUUACUACUCGAAAGAGUGGCUAAUACCGCAUGAGAUCUACGGAUGAAAGCAGGGGAUCGCAAGACCUUGUGCUACUAGAGCGGCCGAUGGCAGAUUAGGUAGUUGGUGGGAGAAAAGCUUAACAAGCAGACGAUCUGUAGCUGGUAUGAGAGGACGAUCAGCCACACUGGGAAUGAGACACGGCCCAGACUCCUACGGGAGGCAGCAGUGGGGAAUUUUGGACAAUGGGCGCAAGCCUGAUCCAGCAAUACCGCGUGCAGGAUGAAGGCCUUCGGGUUGUAAACUGCUUUUGUACGGAACGAAAAGCCCCGGGUUAAUACCCUGGGGUCAUGACGGUACCGUAAGAAUAAGCACCGGCUAACUACGUGCCAGCCGCCGCAGUAA
Molecule: ribosomal RNA, 498 nt
Filed under: uncultured bacterium
Lineage: Bacteria
Description: partial 16S ribosomal RNA
Rfam family: Bacterial small subunit ribosomal RNA
Source: RNAcentral